AGAUCAUACAAGACGUUACAGGCUGAUUGCAUGUGGAAACAGACUUGCGUUAAAAUAAUGUUGAAUACUUAAUAAGCAUUGUUUGAUUUUAUUUGUUAGAGAACACUUUAGCAAAACAUUUAGCAACAUAAUUAUUUUAGUUCAGUUAGUUCCUUCGUGUUUCAGUUCAUAUUCUUCAGUUUGGUGCCUCGUGGAUAUGAUUCAUGUCUCCGUGGAAACAUCAAUGAAAAUGCACUUUGAUUUUUACUCCUCACUUUUUCUGCCCCCUGCUGGAGACUGGAGCACACUGCAGUCCCUUUCAGGUCCAUAGGGUUUUACUGCCCCCUGCUGGAGACUGGAGCACACUGCAGUCCCUUUCAGGUCCAUAGGGUUUUACUGCCCCCUGCUGGAGACUGGAGCACACUGCAGUCUCUUUCAGGUCCAGAUACUGUAUGUAGAACCAUAGUAAAGCCCAGUAUGGACUAUCAAUACAAAUACUGUAUGUAGAACCAUAGUAAAGACCAGUAUGGACUAUCAAUACAAAGUGACCAUUUAGAAUGAGGCCCAGUUCAAUGAGAGGAAGUCUUAACAGAACUGGGGGAUGACAGACAGGAAGUGGGGGGGUGGAGAUCUAAUAUAUUUUUGUGCCAAACACUAAAGCAUGAUAUUGUAAUAAAUCUACGCCCUAUUCCUACGUAGAACACUACUUUAGACCUGGUCAGAAGCACCGUAGUGCACUACGUAGGGAAUAGGGAACCAUUUGGAACAGAGACAGUAAUUCCCUGAACAUCUUCCUCUUCCUCAUCUGGUUUCUAGAACAGCCCUUCACUCCUCUCUUCCCUUUUCAUUCUAUUCUAUCAGCCACACCACUAGCUCACCUCCACACAAUACAUUUACAAGUUAAAGACACACCUUGGAAUAAAUAACAAAGGAAAACUAUUACUAGAUGAAGUUGAGUGUUUAUUAUUUCCCAUCACCAUAAAUCAUAUUUAAUCACUGAACAGUAGCAGACCUAACUUCAUCUGUUCCUGACUCUGGAUAGUGGAUUAAAAAGACCCAUCAAUCUCCAAUGAUAUUAAAGUACUAUUCUGAACAUUACUGAUAUACUGAGUGGCAAGUCAAGAUAUCUGCUGGUUUUAUUGUUUGUUCAACAGCACCAUCUGCUGGACAGGUUUAAUGUUGCUGGACUGAGCAGUAUGGGAGGAUGAAAGAUGACACAUUUAGGGCCGGUUUCCUGGACAUCUACAUUGAACAUACUGUUUAGUCCAGGACUAGGAUUAAUCUGUGUCUGGGAAACCAGACCAUAUAGUUUAGUAGAAAGUAAGUGAUACCAGCUUGUAGUGGGCUGACUAGUCCUGAAUUGUCCUUUAGUUCCUGGACCAUUUUCCAUGCAGCUCCAGGUGACAGAGAACACAUCAAUUAGGACCGAGCCAACAAGCUGAUCAAUGAUACUGAGGAGAAUUA
This is a long non-coding RNA of Oncorhynchus keta (chum salmon), 1443 nucleotides long. RefSeq lists it as uncharacterized. The record is from RefSeq and is a predicted model, not a curated record. NCBI's taxonomy places the organism in Eukaryota, Metazoa, Chordata, Actinopteri, Salmoniformes, Salmonidae. The transcript is spliced from 2 exons.